AGUGAACGCUGGCGGUAGGCCUAACACAUGCAAGUCGAACGGCAGCACAGUAAGAGCUUGCUCUUACGGGUGGCGAGUGGCGGACGGGUGAGGAAUACAUCGGAAUCUACUUUUUCGUGGGGGAUAACGUAGGGAAACUUACGCUAAUACCGCAUACGACCUACGGGUGAAAGCAGGGGAUCUUCGGACCUUGCGCGAUUGAAUGAGCCGAUGUCGGAUUAGCUAGUUGGCGGGGUAAAGGCCCACCAAGGCGACGAUCCGUAGCUGGUCUGAGAGGAUGAUCAGCCACACUGGAACUGAGACACGGUCCAGACUCCUACGGGAGGCAGCAGCGGGGAAUAUUGGACAAUGGGCGCAAGCCUGAUCCAGCCAUACCGCGUGGGUGAAGAAGGCCUUCGGGUUGUAAAACCCUUUUGUUGGGAAAGAAAAGCAGCAGGUUAAUACCCCGCUGUUCUGACGGUACCCAAAGAAUAAGCACCGGCUAACUUCGUG
RNAcentral lists this ribosomal RNA (492 nucleotides) under uncultured bacterium. RNAcentral describes it as "partial 16S ribosomal RNA". It matches the Rfam family "Bacterial small subunit ribosomal RNA", at positions 29 to 507 of the family's 1533-position model. The record is from RNAcentral.